AUGGACCACGCGUCCACUGCGGUUCUGAGCGNUGUCUGCGCCCACCUGACAGCUACUCGCGACGUGUUGUUAGCC
RNAcentral lists this small RNA (75 nucleotides) under Xanthomonas oryzae pv. oryzae. RNAcentral describes it as "sX9". It matches the Rfam family "Xanthomonas sRNA sX9". The record is from RNAcentral. Lineage: Bacteria; Pseudomonadati; Pseudomonadota; Gammaproteobacteria; Lysobacterales; Lysobacteraceae.